AAAAUUAUGAAAUUAUUACUAACUUCUUUUUUUCUUUUUAGCCAAAGGAAAUCAGCCUAAUUUGAAGGGUAAUAUAAAGAUAAGCCAGUCUAUGAAGUCUCAAGGUUUAAUAUGGGUGCACAAUUUCAUUUCAUACUAAUCGGUCAUCUUUGUUACGUUGGAAAGCAGAUGCAGGAAAUGCUUCCAACCUAAGCUCAGCACUUCCAGCAUCACAACAUCUUCCUGCUUCUUGAACUGAAGACAGCACUGGAGAGAGAAUAUCAU
This 264-nucleotide long non-coding RNA is filed under the name Parus major (Great Tit). Its description in RNAcentral is "lncRNA (ENSPMJG00000002532.1)". Lineage: Eukaryota; Metazoa; Chordata; Aves; Passeriformes; Paridae. The record is from RNAcentral.